RNAcentral lists this ribosomal RNA (800 nucleotides) under Metapseudomonas otitidis. Its description in RNAcentral is "bacterial SSU rRNA". It matches the Rfam family "Bacterial small subunit ribosomal RNA", at positions 239 to 1008 of the family's 1533-position model. Lineage: Bacteria; Pseudomonadati; Pseudomonadota; Gammaproteobacteria; Pseudomonadales; Pseudomonadaceae. The record is from RNAcentral.
GAUUAGCUAGUUGGUGGGGUAAUGGCCCACCAAGGCGACGAUCCGUAACUGGUCUGAGAGGAUGAUCAGUCACACUGGAACUGAGACACGGUCCAGACUCCUACGGGAGGCAGCAGUGGGGAAUAUUGGACAAUGGGCGAAAGCCUGAUCCAGCCAUGCCGCGUGUGUGAAGAAGGUCUUCGGAUUGUAAAGCACUUUAAGUUGGGAGGAAGGGCAGUAAGUUAAUACCUUGCUGUUUUGACGUUACCAACAGAAUAAGCACCGGCUAACUUCGUGCCAGCAGCCGCGGUAAUACGAAGGGUGCAAGCGUUAAUCGGAAUUACUGGGCGUAAAGCGCGCGUAGGUGGUUCAGCAAGUUGGAUGUGAAAGCCCCGGGCUCAACCUGGGAAUUGCAUCCAAAACUACUGAGCUAGAGUACGGUAGAGGGUGGGUGGAAUUUCCUGGUGUAGCGGUGAAAUGCGUAGAUAUAGGAAGGAACACCAGUGGGCGAAGGCGACCACCUGGACUGAUACUGACACUGAGGUGCGAAAGCGUGGGGGAGCAAACAGGAUUAGAUACCCGGGUAGUCCACGCCGUAAAACGAUGUCGACUAGCCCGUUGGGGAUCCUUGAGAUCUUAGUGGCGCAGCUAACGCGAUAAGUCGACCGCCCUGGGGGGAGUACGGCCGCAAGGGUUAAAAACUCAAAUGAAAUUGACGGGGGGCCCGCACAAAGCGGGUGGAAGCCAUGGUGGGUUUUAAUUUCGAAAGCAAACGCGAAAGAAACCUUUACCCUGGGCCUUUGAACAUGGCAGGAGAAACU